Molecule: ribosomal RNA, 254 nt
Filed under: uncultured bacterium
Lineage: Bacteria
Description: partial 16S ribosomal RNA
Rfam family: Bacterial small subunit ribosomal RNA
Source: RNAcentral
UACGAAGGGGGGCUAGCGUUGCUCGGAAUCACUGGGCGUAAAGCGCACGUAGGCGGCUUUCUAAGUCAGGGGUGAAAUCCUGGAGCUCAACUCCAGAACUGCCUUUGAUACUGGAGAGCUUGAGUCCGGAAGAGGUGAGUGGAACUCCGAGUGUAGAGGUGAAAUUCGUAGAUAUUCGGAAGAACACCAGUGGCGAAGGCGGUUCUCUGGGCAUUACCUGACGCUGAGGAGCGAAAGUGUGGGGAGCGAACAGG